RNAcentral lists this ribosomal RNA (436 nucleotides) under uncultured bacterium. RNAcentral's name for it is "partial 16S ribosomal RNA". It matches the Rfam family "Bacterial small subunit ribosomal RNA", at positions 27 to 507 of the family's 1533-position model. The record is from RNAcentral.
GAGCGAACGCUGGCGGCAGGCUUACCACAUGCAAGUCGAACGGGCAUCGCAAUAUGUCAGUGGCAGACGGGUGAGUAACGCGUGGGAACGUACCUUUUGGUUCGGAACAACACAGGGAAACUUAUGCUAAUACCGGAUAAGCCCUUACGGGGAAAGAUUUAUCGCCGAAAGAUCGGCCCGCGUCUGAUUAGCUAGUUGGUAGGGUAAUGGCCUACCAAGGCGACGAUCAGUAGCUGGUCUGAGAGGAUGAUCAGCCACAUUGGGACUGAGACACGGCCCAAACUCCUACGGGAGGCAGCAGUGGGGAAUAUUGGACAAUGGGCGAAAGCCUGAUCCAGCCAUGCCGCGUGAGUGAUGAAGGCCCUAGGGUUGUAAAGCUCUUUUGUGCGGGAAGAUAAUGACGGUACCGCAAGAAUAAGCCCCGGCUAACUUCGUG